UGCCAGCCGCCGCGGUAAUACGGAGGGGGCAAGCGUUGUUCGGAAUUACUGGGCGUAAAGGGCGCGUAGGCGGCACAUCAAGUCAGAGGUGAAAGCCCCGGGCUCAACCUGGGAACUGCCUUUGAAACUGAUGAGCUAGAGUCCGGAAGAGGAUAGCGGAAUUCCCAGUGUAGAGGUGAAAUUCGUAGAUAUUGGGAAGAACACCAGUGGCGAAGGCGGCUAUCUGGUCCGGUACUGACGCUGAGGCGCGAAAGCGUGGGGAGCAAACAGGAUUAGAUA
This 279-nucleotide ribosomal RNA is filed under the name uncultured bacterium. Its description in RNAcentral is "partial 16S ribosomal RNA". It matches the Rfam family "Bacterial small subunit ribosomal RNA", at positions 506 to 784 of the family's 1533-position model. The record is from RNAcentral.